This 513-nucleotide long non-coding RNA is filed under the name Mus musculus (house mouse). RNAcentral describes it as "predicted gene 10570 (ENSMUSG00000073752.4)". The record is from RNAcentral. Lineage: Eukaryota; Metazoa; Chordata; Mammalia; Rodentia; Muridae.
CCUCGCUCCCGAAAUAGGAAGCCGGGGCUUGCACUCCCGCAAAGGGCUGGGGCCCAUCCCCCACAGCCCUCCCGUCGCCUACGUCAGCGGCGCCCGCGGUCCUGUUGGUGCCAUCUAACCCAUCCCUGGCCUGGCUGCGGGGCGCUUCCCGCAACCCAAGUAGAGCAUCCCCCGGCCAUACUGAAAGGAAACUCGCCCUUGAGCUGGUGCCACGCUGGAGAAACGCCGCUUGAUCCUUCUGCCGCCUUGUUUUUUAAUUCGCUGUGGUUUUAUUCUUAUAUUGUGUAUGCUCGUGUAGGCGUACUUAUGGGGAAGGGGUGGGAGACUGGGGCGUUCGUUGUAACUCGCGGGAGUCCCUUCUCUGCUUCCACCGUGUGGGUCCCACGUAUCAAACUGGGGUUGUCAAGGCUUGACAGCAAGGGCCUUUACCCAAAAACCCAUCUCAACGGUCCUAUGUCCUCUUCUUGUAGAAGAGGCUCAGAGGCUCGGAGAGGAAUGACGCGGUCGCCGUAA